RNAcentral lists this ribosomal RNA (703 nucleotides) under Steineria vietnamica. RNAcentral's name for it is "SSU rRNA". It matches the Rfam family "Eukaryotic small subunit ribosomal RNA", at positions 136 to 924 of the family's 1831-position model. Lineage: Eukaryota; Metazoa; Nematoda; Chromadorea; Monhysterida; Xyalidae. The record is from RNAcentral.
UACUUGGAUAACUGUGGUAAUUCUAGAGCUAAUACACGCGGAAUGGGUGCAUUUAUUAGAACAAAACCAAUCUUGGUGAAUCUGAAUAACUAAUGGUCUUUGCACCGGCGACGAAUCCUUCAAGUGUCUGCCUUAUCAACUUUCGAUGGUAGUUUAUACGACUACCAUGGUUGUAACGGGUAACGGAAAAUCAGGGUUUGAUUCCGGAGAGGGCGCCUGAGAAAUGGCGACCACUUCUAAGGAAGGCAGCAGGCGCGUAACUUACCCACUCUCAGAGAGGAGGUAGUGACGAAAAAUAUCGAGCUGGUGGUCGUUAGCAUCGGAAUGAGAACAACCUAAACAUGUUAUCGAGUAACUAGCAGAGGGCAAGUCUGGUGCCAGCAGCCGCGGUAAUUCCAGCUCUGCAAGUGUAUAUCAAUGUUGCUGUGGUUAAAAAGCUCGUAGUUGGAUCUGCCUAGGGCCCGGUCCAGCCUUUGGCUGUGCAGCUGGUUUGGCCUCAAUGCCCUUAACCGGGUGUUUUGGUUGACUAGCGAGUUUACUUUGAAAAAAUUAGAGUGCUCAAAACAGGCGUCUCGCCUGAAUAGUUCUGCAUGGAAUAAUGGAAGAGGAGGUUCUGUUUUGUUGGUUUUAGGAGCACGAGGUAAUGAUUAAGAGAAACAGACGGGGGCAUUUGUAUUCCGACGUUAGAGGUGAAAUUCUUGGA